AGAGUUUGAUCCUGGCUCAGAAUGAACGUUGGCGGCGUGGAUUAGGCAUGCGAGUCGCGCGAGAAUGUAGCAAUACAGGAAAGCGGCGAAAGGGAGAGGACAACAUGGGAAUCUGCCCAGGGGUCGGGGAUAGCUACGGGAAACUGUAGGUAAUACCCGAUAAUGUUUACGGACCAAAGGUUUACUGCCCCUGGAUGAGCCCAUGCCCCAUUAGCUUGUUGGCGGUGUAAUAGACCACCAAGGCGAUGAUGGGUAGCUGGUGUGAGAGCACGACCAGCCUCACUGGCACUGAGACACUGGCCAGACACCUACGGGUGGCUGCAGUCGAGAAUCUUCGGCAAUGGACGAAAGUCUGACCGAGCGACGCCGCGUGCGGGAUGAAGGCCUUCGGGUUGUAAACCGCUGUCGAGGGGGAUUAAGGGCAACUUGAAAGAACCCUGGAGGAAGGAGAGGCUAAGCUCGUGCCAGCAGCCGCGGUAAGACGAGCUCUCCAAACGUUAUUCGGUAUCACUGGGCUUAAAGAGUUCGUAGGCGGCUCUUCAGGUGGGGUGUGAAAGCCCUCGGCUUAACCGAGGAAUUGCGCCCCAAACCGUUGGGCUUGAGGGAUAUAGGGGUAAGCGGAACAGAUGGUGGAGCGGUGAAAUGCAUUGAUAUCAUCUGGAACACCGGUGGCGAAAGCGGCUUACUGGAUAUUUUCUGACGCUGAGGAACGGAAGCUAGGGUAGCGAACGGGAUUAGAUACCCCGGUAGUCCUAGCCGUAAACGAUGAGCACUAGUCUGAAGGACUCUCACAGUCUUUCGGACGUAGCGAAAGUGUUAAGUGCUCCGCCUGGGGAGUAUGGUCGCAAGGCUGAAACUCAAAGGAAUUGACGG
This 873-nucleotide ribosomal RNA is filed under the name uncultured Planctomycetota bacterium. Its description in RNAcentral is "bacterial SSU rRNA". It matches the Rfam family "Bacterial small subunit ribosomal RNA", at positions 8 to 916 of the family's 1533-position model. The record is from RNAcentral. Lineage: Bacteria; Pseudomonadati; Planctomycetota.